AGAGUUUGAUCCUGGCUCAGGAUGAACGCUAGCGGCAGGCUUAACACAUGCAAGUCGAGGGGUAGAAGUUUUCGGACUUUGAGACCGGCGCACGGGUGCGUAACGCGUAUGCAAUCUACCUUUUACAGAGGGAUAGCCCAGAGAAAUUUGGAUUAAUACCUCAUAGUAUUAUUGAAUGGCAUCAUUUAAUAAUUAAAGUUCCAACGGUAAAAGAUGAGCAUGCGUCCCAUUAGCUAGUUGGUGUGGUAACGGCACACCAAGGCAAUGAUGGGUAGGGGUCCUGAGAGGGAGAUCCCCCACACUGGUACUGAGACACGGACCAGACUCCUACGGGAGGCAGCAGUGAGGAAUAUUGGACAAUGGGCGCAAGCCUGAUCCAGCCAUGCCGCGUGAGUGAUGAAGGCCUUAGGGUUGUAAAGCUCUUUCGACGGGGACGAUGAUGACGGUACCCGUAGAAGAAGCCCCGGCUAACUUCGUGCCAGCAGCCGCGGUAAU
RNAcentral lists this ribosomal RNA (495 nucleotides) under uncultured bacterium. RNAcentral's name for it is "bacterial SSU rRNA". It matches the Rfam family "Bacterial small subunit ribosomal RNA", at positions 8 to 524 of the family's 1533-position model. The record is from RNAcentral.